Molecule: long non-coding RNA, 288 nt
Filed under: Olea europaea (common olive)
Lineage: Eukaryota; Viridiplantae; Streptophyta; Magnoliopsida; Lamiales; Oleaceae
Description: long non-coding RNA (OEUR_LNC014041)
Source: RNAcentral
CCAAUAUUAAAUUUAGUCAAUUUAAAAUGCGUUGAAAAACUAACUCAAAUUCUACCAUUCAUUUAGAAUAGCAUUUUCAAAUUUGUGUAAAAUACGUUGCAACUUGUAGCUGAGAAUUUGGAGUAUGAGUUGUGCUGCAAUUUGACACUCCUUUGAAUUCUAAUUACAUCACAUUGAUCAUAUAUAACCUUGUUGGACAUGGCUCAUUGACGCUUUAAGACUUAUACCAUCCAUCCAUUGACUUUUGAUUUUAAUUACAAUUCUAUUACUUUAAUUUUGUCUAAGAAA